UAAUCCUGUAUGUAAUCCAUAGGGUGUGUU
RNAcentral lists this non-coding RNA (30 nucleotides) under Rattus norvegicus (Norway rat). Lineage: Eukaryota; Metazoa; Chordata; Mammalia; Rodentia; Muridae. The record is from RNAcentral.